GUGGUUGUGGCUCAGUGGUAGAGCCUCAUACAUGGAAGGCCCUGGGUUCGAUCCUUAGCACCACA
RNAcentral lists this transfer RNA (65 nucleotides) under Marmota marmota marmota (Alpine marmot). It matches the Rfam family "tRNA". Rfam says of the family: Transfer RNA (tRNA) molecules are approximately 80 nucleotides in length. Their secondary structure includes four short double-helical elements and three loops (D, anti-codon, and T loops). Further hydrogen bonds mediate the characteristic L-shaped molecular structure. tRNAs have two regions of fundamental functional importance: the anti-codon, which is responsible for specific mRNA codon recognition, and the 3' end, to which the tRNAs corresponding amino acid is attached (by aminoacyl-tRNA synthetases). tRNAs cope with the degeneracy of the genetic code in two manners: having more than one tRNA (with a specific anti-codon) for a particular amino acid; and 'wobble' base-pairing, i.e. permitting non-standard base-pairing at the 3rd anti-codon position. Lineage: Eukaryota; Metazoa; Chordata; Mammalia; Rodentia; Sciuridae. RNAcentral also lists the same sequence under 1 other name. The record is from Rfam by way of RNAcentral.